GAAGCCGGAGCUUGCUCUGGUGGAUUAGUGGCGAACGGGUGAGUAACACGUGAGUAACCUGCCCUUGACUCUGGGAUAAGCGUUGGAAACGACGUCUAAUACCGGAUACGAGCUGAGAUCGCAUGAUCAUUAGCUGGAAAGAACUUCGGUCAAGGAUGGACUCGCGGCCUAUCAGUUAGUUGGUGAGGUAAUGGCUCACCAAGACGACGACGGGUAGCCGGCCUGAGAGGGUGACCGGCCACACUGGGACUGAGACACGGCCCAGACUCCUACGGGAGGCAGCAGUGGGGAAUAUUGCACAAUGGGCGCAAGCCUGAUGCAGCAACGCCGCGUGAGGGACGACGGCCUUCGGGCUGUAAACCUCUUUUAGCAGGGAAGAAGCGAAAGUGACGGUACCUGCAGAAAAAGCACCGGCUAACUACGUGCCAGCAGCCGCGGUAAUACGUAGGGUGCAAGCGUUGUCCGGAAUUAUUGGGCGUAAAGAGCUCGUAGGCGGUUUGUCGCGUCUGCUGUGAAAACGCGAGGCUCAACCUCGCGCCUGCAGUGGGUACGGGCAAACUAGAGUGCGGUAGGGGAGAUUGGAAUUCCUGGUGUAGCGGUGGAAUGCGCAGAUAUCAGGAGGAACACCAAUGGCGAAGGCAGAUCUCUGGGCCGUAACUGACGCUGAGGAGCGAAAGCAUGGGGAGCGAACAGGAUUAGAUACCCUGGUAGUCCAUGCCGUAAACGUUGGGAACUAGAUGUAGGGACCAUUCCACGGUUUCUGUGUCGCAGCUAACGCAUUAAGUUCCCCGCCUGGGGAGU
RNAcentral lists this ribosomal RNA (801 nucleotides) under uncultured bacterium. RNAcentral describes it as "bacterial SSU rRNA". It matches the Rfam family "Bacterial small subunit ribosomal RNA", at positions 69 to 881 of the family's 1533-position model. The record is from RNAcentral.